Molecule: ribosomal RNA, 633 nt
Filed under: uncultured bacterium
Lineage: Bacteria
Description: bacterial SSU rRNA
Rfam family: Bacterial small subunit ribosomal RNA
Source: RNAcentral
GAGUUUGAUCCUGGCUCAGGAUGAACGCUGCGGCGUGCUUAACACAUGCAAGUCGAACGGAGAUGUACGCUGAAGAAGCUUCGGUGGAUUCUUGUGCAUCUUAGUGGCGGACGGGUGAGUAACGCGUGGGCGACCUGCCUCACACAGGGGGAUAACAGCCAGAAAUGGCUGCUAAUACCGCAUAAGCGCACAGUGCUGCAUGGCACAGUGUGAAAAACCGAGGUGGUGUGAGAUGGGCCCGCGUCUGAUUAGCUUGUUGGCGGGGUAACGGCCCACCAAGGCAACGAUCAGUAGCCGGCUUGAGAGAGUGGACGGCCACAUUGGAACUGAGACACGGUCCAAACUCCUACGGGAGGCAGCAGUGGGGAAUAUUGCACAAUGGGGGAAACCCUGAUGCAGCGACGCCGCGUGAGUGAAGAAGUAUUUCGGUAUGUAAAGCUCUAUCAGCAGGGAAGAUAAUGACGGUACCUGACUAAGAAGCCCCGGCUAACUACGUGCCAGCAGCCGCGGUAAUACGUAGGGGGCAAGCGUUAUCCGGAUUUACUGGGUGUAAAGGGUGCGUAGGUGGCAUGGCAAGUCAGAAGUGAAAGCCCGGGGCUCAACCCCGCGGACUGCUUUUGAAACUGUCAGGCU